UUUUCAGCAUCAGCUUUGAAACACUUUGACUUCAAACUCUCAUGUGUUGCAAAGAGGAAUUUGAUAUUGGAUGAUCAAAGGAAGAAUUGGUCCAGCAGCUCUGCAUUUAGUUGGGAACUGACUUCAUGUUGGGAAUUUUUCAUUGAUUCAAUUGAUCACAAGGGAGGGUUGAAGGUUGUUACAGAAAAGCUAUAGAGGACGAGAAAUUCAAUCUACUGUGGAAAUCAAAUGAAUCAACUAUGACUGCUCUCAGAUGACUUGAAGUAGUUGCUGCAUAAUCUUUGGAUACAUAAUGCUGUUUAGCCUGUUCCAGGUGGUCACUGCUCUAUUAUGUUUAGCAUUGUUUGAACCUACUUCAUAUCUCUUCAGCCUUUUUUAAUUGAGGAGCAUAGAGGAAAAGAUUGGUAUACGAAUCGUUUAUUGCAUAUUCAACAGUGUCGAGGAACCAGCGAUCUCAUUAAGUUGGUUCCAGGUUGUCUUCCUCUCUCCAUAUUGAAGGAACCAGAUAUAUUUGGUUUCAGACUUACGGAUUUGGCACCGUUUAAGGCUCUGAUGUCAAACAAAUUGCAUGCAGUUAUUGGUAAUGUUCUUUUCCAUCUGAUCUAUAAAUACAGUUCUUUAAAAAUAACUGCUACUGUAAUAUGGAGUCGAUACAGAAAACACAGUUCUCUCUCUAAAAAUAACAGACAAAUGAAAGCAGAUUUGUUGCCCAUUUUUGUCUUUUCAAAGCCAAAAGAGAAUUUCUUAUGAAACUAGGUUCCUUAAAAAGUUGGACUGACCAACUGACCUACAUUUAGUAAUAAUUAAAUAAAGGUAGAGGGGCCUGGACAUCACGUUAAUUGAUCACUUGAUAUUGCAGAAUAAAGACUGUGGACAGACUUAACCAAAAUGAUCUGUUAAAACACUUAACCAAAACAUCUCUGUUUAAAUGAAGUGGCCAGGCUGAAAUUACUUCAUGCAUUUGAUUGUGAGACCUUUAAGUAUGUUUUUCCUUUCUACCUUCAUCUUGGGUGAUUGCUUGGUUUUGUAGCAUCGUCCAUAUAUUAUCAUAUCAUUAUGAAGGAGAAGAUGUUCCUCCUUUUGAUGGAAUGCCUAUUGUACUUGGUGGAGACUUUUGUCAAAUAUUACCGGU
Molecule: RNA transcript, 1132 nt
Organism: Fragaria vesca subsp. vesca
Lineage: Eukaryota; Viridiplantae; Streptophyta; Magnoliopsida; Rosales; Rosaceae
Exons: 4
Source: RefSeq, a predicted model, not a curated record